RNAcentral lists this long non-coding RNA (592 nucleotides) under Homo sapiens (human). RNAcentral describes it as "HSALNT0362654". The record is from RNAcentral. Lineage: Eukaryota; Metazoa; Chordata; Mammalia; Primates; Hominidae.
CUUUGUUAAGUGGGGUGUGUGUGGUUUUUGUUUUCAAAGCUGGCCUGGAGGCUCUGGGUUGCCAUGGCAACUGAUGAGCAGGGCCGCCUUUUCCCUUCCCUCCAUCUUGGGAGCCCUGGUUGCCAUAACAACUGAUUGGUCCUCUCCUCUUCCUCCACCUCUGCCACAGGGCUCCAGCUUCCCUCUGGGGGCACCACUGUUCUUAGAUGGCAGAGCAGAUGCAACGGCACCCCUGAGCUGCCCUCAGGGGGUCCUCAGCCUUGGAGGAGGCAGGAGACCUGGGCUAUGGAGCCACUCACAGGCCCUACUGAGAACAACUUGGUGUCCAUCACAGUCCUCUUCAGAAUGCCCAGAAUAUGGGGAUAAGAAGGUGAAACCGGCAUGUUUAUUAACACAAUGGAAUAUUCUGUGGCCAAAUCAAAGGAAGACGUUGAGGAUUCUGGUGACACCUGGAAACGUACUGCUAAGGGAAAAAAGCAGGACCACAAUGUUAUGUGGAUAUUGACUGCGACUAUAUAUAAUGCCAGCGUGGACUUCUCAGAGAUGGAAUUUGGAGGAAUGUAAUACAGAUGCAAAUAGAGUUUUCCCCACA